Molecule: ribosomal RNA, 443 nt
Filed under: uncultured Bacteroidota bacterium
Lineage: Bacteria; Pseudomonadati; Bacteroidota
Description: bacterial SSU rRNA
Rfam family: Bacterial small subunit ribosomal RNA
Source: RNAcentral
GGGCCCGCACAAGCGGAGGAACAUGUGGUUUAAUUCGAUGAUACGCGAGGAACCUUACCCGGGCUCGAACGGUGGAUGCAUGAUCUGGAAACAGACAGUCCUUCGGGACAUCCAUCGAGGUGCUGCAUGGUUGUCGUCAGCUCGUGCCGUGAGGUGUCGGCUUAAGUGCCAUAACGAGCGCAACCCCUACCGUUAGUUACCAUCAGGUCAUGCUGGGGACUCUAGCGGGACUGCCACCGUAAGGUGUGAGGAAGGUGGGGAGUGACGUCAAAUACAGCACGGCCCUUACGUCCGGGGCGACACACGUGUUACAAUGGGUGGGACAGCAGGCAGCUACCUGGUGACAGGAUGCCAAUCCCCAAACCCACUCCCAGUUCGGAUUGGAGUCUGCAACUCGACUCCAUGAAGCUGGAUUCGCUAGUAAUCGCGCAUCAGCCAUGGCG